UACGAAGGGGGCUAGCGUUGCUCGGAAUUACUGGGCGUAAAGCGCACGUAGGCGGCUUGUUAAGUCAGGGGUGAAAUCCUGGAGCUCAACUCCAGAACUGCCUUUGAUACUGGCGAGCUUGAGUUCGGGAGAGGUGAGUGGAACUGCGAGUGUAGAGGUGAAAUUCGUAGAUAUUGGGAAGAACACCGGUGGCGAAGGCGGCGACCUGGUCCGAUACUGACGCUGAGGCGCGAAAGCGUGGGGAGCAAACAGG
This 253-nucleotide ribosomal RNA is filed under the name uncultured bacterium. Its description in RNAcentral is "partial 16S ribosomal RNA". It matches the Rfam family "Bacterial small subunit ribosomal RNA", at positions 524 to 776 of the family's 1533-position model. The record is from RNAcentral.